GUUACAUCCUUCAUAUUUUUUAUAUCUUUCUUCUGAAAAACAGAAAAGAUGCGAACUCCAUACGGUGGGAUGGUGUGUUUGUCAACACGAGUCCAUCCAAGAAAAUCAAAUAAAAGUUGAAUAAACGUGGCGCGCAUUCCCAUAACAACUCUAUACACUUCACUCUCCUACGCGCUCUUCCUACACACUCCAUCUUUUCAUCUUUCCUCUCACAAACAAACACAAGCUUUCAACUAUUCCAGAUUCCGUGCGCAAUGGCCACGCCCACACCGGAAGCCGUCGCAACCUUCAUGCGAAUCACCGGAGCACCGGAGUUCGUUGCUCUCCAGAAAUUAGAGGAAUAUGGCGGCAAUCUCAACGAAGCCGUGAAUGCACAUUUUAUCGAAGGACACAUGCACAUUCAGGACCAAAAUCUUGCUGCUGCUGCAACCCCACAAUAUAGUUACUCCGAAGCAAAUAAUCAAAACAACCAAAACCGCGGUGGGUCGCGUGGAAUUUGGCCUUUGUUCAAUGCUGCUAGAAGGUUUAGACUUUCACUACUACUUGACUCAAAUUAUAGGAGAGAACUUAGAGAUCUAUGUAAUGGGUUGGGUUCUACUACGUUUUCAAGUAGUGCACCACCACGUAGUUCCCCUCAAGGAGAGGCGGUGGAAGUUCCUACAGGUACCAAUAGUGCACUUGUGUCACCUUAUCAAUCGGGAUUGAGCUAUGCAGGUGCAGAUAUUAAUGGAAAUUUAUCAUCUCACGGUCGAGGAUAUUAUGGGGCAGAUGAUUAUCAGAAUAACUACCCUUUAGCUCAGUCAAAUGCUUCACGUGUUCAUGAUCAAGAUGCAGAGGAGGCAAUGAUUCAAGCUGCUAUAGAAGCCUCAAAGAAGGAGAGCAGAGAAGGUUCUUCACGGAAUGCUCCAAAUCAUUCAUCUGAUGAAGGGCUUCCUCAGAGUCAUUUUAACCGAGAAGAUGAUGAUGAUUUAGCUCGUGUCAUUUCAUUGUCAUUACAGACUGCAGAGCAAGAGGAGGCAAUACGCGAGCGUCAAGUGAAAGAGGAAAAGGAAGUUCGUGAUUUGUUAGCCGAGGGAGAGAAAACCAACUCUAGCAGAAGCAGAUUAGAGUGGGGUGGUAUUUCUUAUGAUGAGCUCAAUGAAGCAUUGCUGAUUGAAACUGCACUUUUUGGUGAAACUCCCAAUCAAAGUGCUCACAAAUUUUCAUCUUUGCCUGACCUGGAACGUCAUUCAGAUAAAAAUGCGGAUCCCAAGAUGCAGUGUUCAUCCAGUUCAGCAUCUCAAUUAUUAGCUGAGACUCGGUUGCUAAGACAACAACAGGAUGCUGACUAUAUAGCAUCACUACUAGUUGAUAAACAAAAAGAAUUGAAUUCUCUCAACAAAGCUGAAACCCAUUCCUCAAAGGAAGAAGAAUCACACAGACAGAUGCUUGAAAGAACGGAAUUGGAGAAAAUACUUGAUACAAAAAAUAUUAUGCUUUCAAAUGAACCACCGUUAGGUGAUGAAAAAGCAAUUACUAUUGUUGUUCGAAUGCCAGACGGUGGUCGUUGUGAACGUCGCUUCCUCAAAACUGACAAGCUUCAGCUUCUUUUUGAUUUCAUAGACAUUUAUGGAGCAGUGAAGCCUGGCACCUAUCGAGUUGUAAAGUCAUACCCGCGGCGAGCAUACAGUAUUAAUGAUAGCUCGGCUACUCUGACUGAAGUAGGCCUUAGCAACAAGAAUGAGGCUUUAUUUCUGGAGUUGAUUUAGUUUACCUAUUUUCCAUUAAGUAUCCUGGUCCUUCAUUAGAGCCCACAAAAUUAUCAGGAUCUCUUGCGAGUUAUUACAUCAGGGUAUGAAAGAAUUGGCUGUUGGUUAAAAAUGCUUGACCAUUCUUAUUUUCUAAUUUCUUUGUGCACCAUUCAUCACAAAAAUCGACUGAAUUGCCAAAUCAAAAGGUGGAGCAGCCAUGAACUGACUCAAUUGCUGAGCUGAAUAAAAAAACUGUUGACAGCCAGAAAACCAAGAAUUGAAAAUGGCUAAUGCUUAUUUUCAUUGAUAUAUCAUGAUGCAAAGGUAAGAAUGUGAAACCUCCAGGCCCAAGAAGCAUUUAAGAGCACCCAUUUUUGAUAAGGCUUAGCUAAACGCACAUCUUGACGAGGUUAGCUAAAUCAUACAAUAUUUGGUGUUAAAAAUCAGUGGAAAAUCCAGGGGAUGACAGCUUGUGUAUACAGAUGAGGUUUUACUGAAAUUCAGGUACAGACAACACAUAGUACAGUGAAAGAGUUUCUGAAAAUAUGACCGUACCAGAAAACUGAGCUAAAGGCACACAACCAUUAGAGAGAUGCAAACUUUCAGAAGUGUUUAUACUGAGAUAACUUGGAGAGAUAUUACAUACGUACAGUUAAUAUUUGGUGUUGAUUAAUUCAUGUUCAAUUAAUUUA
Non-coding RNA from Cicer arietinum (chickpea), 2422 nucleotides. NCBI's taxonomy places the organism in Eukaryota, Viridiplantae, Streptophyta, Magnoliopsida, Fabales, Fabaceae. The record is from RefSeq and is a predicted model, not a curated record.